This is an RNA transcript of Metopolophium dirhodum (rose-grain aphid), 1756 nucleotides long. RefSeq lists it as uncharacterized. The transcript is spliced from 5 exons. NCBI's taxonomy places the organism in Eukaryota, Metazoa, Arthropoda, Insecta, Hemiptera, Aphididae. The record is from RefSeq and is a predicted model, not a curated record.
GCACACGUCGUCGUCAAAAUAGCGGACCGCCGUGCGACUUUUCUCGAAGUUUUUACGCCGGACAAUCGACGACGUCAUCGAUCUCUAAAUAGAGUAUACUUAUAGACGAUUCUAUAGUCGCGGUUCAUACAAUUCAUAGUGAACAAAAAAAUAAUAAGCCACUAAUAUUAACGGACAGUUCGUUAAACCGUACAAAUUAUAAUUUUCAGUUCAUCGGAGUGAGAUGAUUAGAUGGAGAUGGAUGAAGAUAGCUGUUUCUUCGGCGAUGGCGGCACUCUAGCUACGUUUCACCGGAAGAGUAGAUGUUUACGAUUCUGGCUGUAUUCUGGAGCGUUUCCUCAUGGGCGUAGCAGUUCACACACGUCACGGAUUCCGCCGAAGGAGUCGAUAAUUAAAGUUUUUAGAAAAGAAAAGAAAAGCGGUCCGACCGCGCGUUGCUGCAGCCCCUUAGGAGGUCGUCGCCAGUCACUUCCAUAAGUAUAUGUAUUAUUAUUUAGUUAUUUAUCGUUAGUCGACGUUGGUUUAUGUAGAGGUGUAAUAUGCGAUUGUAAUAAACGCUCUAAACUGUUUAAAACAUUAAAUUGGCCACGGUCAGCCACCUCGCGGUCCUCAUGUACACGACGAGGUUUAUUAUGGCUUUUAAACGCGUGAACAAUAACAAAAAUAAAACAAACAAAUUACCCCCUGGUCGGCUGCAAGGUUCUUGAUUUCAUGAUUCUUGGCUAAGGGGGCAAACUCUGUUAUAUGACUGUACAUAUUAUUACAGUUAAGAUUUGCCGCUAGGGACAAUAAUAUUUGCAGUUCAAAAUGUCCUUAUCAGCUAAGUACAACAAGCAAGAAAACUGGCUAUCACCAAAUCUUAAAAUAUAACCAUGAUUAUUUGUUUCUUGUAUAAUAAUCAACACAAAACAUGAAUCUAAUCGACGAUGUUUUUGAUAUAUUUUAUCGUAUUAAUGUUAGAUAUUUUUUGAUUUAAAUAAAAUCGAAUUACUGAAAAAUUGCUCUUUUUAAAAUAUAUUUUAUAAUUAAAAACAUAAAGUUUGCGGUUUUGCAGACUGCACAAGCAAUGAAUCCACCAGAAGUGGAAUAGCCAAUGAGUAAUCCAUAAUUGCCGUGUAUAUUAAAUUAAAAUUUUAGAGUUCUUGGGAAAACGUUUAAGUUAUUAAUUUUCAAUUCGGCAAUCAACAAUAGCUGAGGACUUGCCCAACGGGUUUAGUAGCCCAGUCUGGCCUUAAUAAAUAUAAACAAACCUGAACAAUCUCAGAACCAUAAAUUCUUCAAGUUUUUUAAAAGUACUAUAUAUAUGCCUUCAGCUAUUGGACUGGAGAGAAUAAUUAUUAAAAAACCUGGGAACUCAUUCUGCUGUACAGCAUAAUAUUUCGAGUAAACUCCUCAUCACUCAUCAGAGUAGGUAUUACUGUUGGUAACGGAUGUGUUAAAUUUGAAUUCUAAAAUGUAUCUGAGUGGAGACAGUGUAUCAACCUAUAUUAAUUCUAAGGAUAUUUUAUAAAUUAUUAUUAUUAUUAUUUUAUAUUAUGAUAAAAACAUCAAAUAAUAUUAUAACUUACAAGUCGAUAUCAACGUACCGUAAAUAGGUUAAUGGUAUAAAUAGCUUAAAAUAAAUAAAAAUAUUUUGAAAAUAACAUUGUGCAAUGUAACUAAUAAUAUGCAUAUCAGCAAAAAGUUUUAAAUUUCUGCGAACAAUAUUUUUUUUUAAUAUGCCUAACUAGAAUCGUUAUUUUUCGUUUAUCCAUUU